RNAcentral lists this ribosomal RNA (347 nucleotides) under uncultured fungus. RNAcentral describes it as "SSU rRNA". It matches the Rfam family "Eukaryotic small subunit ribosomal RNA", at positions 21 to 370 of the family's 1831-position model. Lineage: Eukaryota; Fungi. The record is from RNAcentral.
UGUAGUCAUAUGCUUGCCUCAAAGAUUAAGCCAUGCAUGUCUAAGUAUAAGCAAUUAUACCGUGAAACUGCGAAUGGCUCAUUAAAUCAGUUAUCGUUUAUUUGAUAAUACCUUACUACUUGGAUAACCGUGGUAAUUCUAGAGCUAAUACAUGCUGAAAAUCCCGACUUCGGAAGGGAUGUGUUUAUUAGAUAAAAAACCAAUGCCCUUCGGGGCUCUUUGGUGAUUCAUGAUAACUUUACGGAUCGCAUAGCCUUGCGCUGGCGACGGUUCAUUCAAAUUUCUGCCCUAUCAACUUUCGAUGGUAAGGUAUUGGCUUACCAUGGUUUCAACGGGUAACGGGGAAU